This 253-nucleotide ribosomal RNA is filed under the name uncultured archaeon. Its description in RNAcentral is "partial 16S ribosomal RNA". It matches the Rfam family "Archaeal small subunit ribosomal RNA", at positions 474 to 727 of the family's 1478-position model. The record is from RNAcentral.
UACCGGCGCCUCAAGUGGUAGUCGAUUUUAUUGGGCCUAAAACGUCCGUAGCCUGUUCUAUAAGUUUCCGGUUAAAUCCAUACGCUCAACGUAUGGGCUGCCGGAAAUACUGCAGAACUAGGGAGUGGGAGAGGUAGACGGUACUCGAUAGGAAGAGGUAAAAUUCUUUGAUCUAUUGAUGACCACCUGUGGCGAAGGCGGUCUACCAGAACACGUUCGACGGUGAGGGAUGAAAGCUGGGGGAGCAAACCGG